AGUGAACGCUGGCGGUAGGCCUAACACAUGCAAGUCGAACGGCAGCACAGUAAGAGCUUGCUCUUACGGGUGGCGAGUGGCGGACGGGUGAGGAAUACAUCGGAAUCUACUUUUUCGUGGGGGAUAACGUAGGGAAACUUACGCUAAUACCGCAUACGACCUACGGGUGAAAGCAGGGGAUCUUCGGACCUUGCGCGAUUGAAUGAGCCGAUGUCGGAUUAGCUAGUUGGCGGGGUAAAGGCCCACCAAGGCGACGAUCCGUAGCUGGUCUGAGAGGAUGAUCAGCCAAACGGGAACUGAGACACGGCCCAGACUCCUACGGGAGGCAGCAGUGGGAAAUAUUGGACAAGGGGCGCAAGCCUGAUCCAGCCAUACCGCGGGGGUGAAGAAGGCCUUCGGGUGGUAAAGCCCUUUUGUUGGGAAAGAAAAGCAGCAGGUUAAUACCCCGCUGUUCUGACGGUACCCAAAGAAUAAGCACCGGCUAACUUCGU
Molecule: ribosomal RNA, 491 nt
Filed under: uncultured bacterium
Lineage: Bacteria
Description: partial 16S ribosomal RNA
Rfam family: Bacterial small subunit ribosomal RNA
Source: RNAcentral